This 745-nucleotide ribosomal RNA is filed under the name Anaerosalibacter bizertensis. Its description in RNAcentral is "partial 23S ribosomal RNA". It matches the Rfam family "Bacterial large subunit ribosomal RNA", at positions 1951 to 2694 of the family's 2925-position model. The record is from RNAcentral. Lineage: Bacteria; Bacillati; Bacillota; Tissierellia; Tissierellales; Sporanaerobacteraceae.
CUAAGGUAGCGAAAUUCCUUGUCGGGUAAGUUCCGACCCGCACGAAAGGUGUAACGACUUGGGCACUGUCUCAACAAGGGAUCCGGUGAAAUUGUAGUACUCGUGAAGAUGCGAGUUACCCGCGACAGGACGGAAAGACCCCGUGGAGCUUUACUGUAGGCUGACAUUGGAUUUCGGUAUUGCUUGUACAGCAUAGGUGGGAGACUAAGAUACCAGGGCGCUAGCUUUGGUGGAGUCAUCAUUGGGAUACCACUCUUGCAAUGCUGAAGUUCUAACCAGAGACUGUGAAUCCAGUCUUGGGACACUGUCAGUCGGGCAGUUUGACUGGGGCGGUCGCCUCCCAAAAAGUAACGGAGGCGCUCAAAGGUUCCCUCAGCACGGUCGGAAAUCGUGCAUAGAGUGCAAAGGCAUAAGGGAGCUUAACUGCGACACCUACAAGUGGAGCAGAAAGGAAACUUGGACUUAGUGAUCCGGUGGCACCGCAUGGAAGGGCCAUCGCUCAACGGAUAAAAGCUACCCCGGGGAUAACAGGCUUAUCUCCCCCAAGAGUCCACAUCGACGGGGAGGUUUGGCACCUCGAUGUCGGCUCGUCUCAUCCUGGGGCUGGAGUAGGUCCCAAGGGUUGGGCUGUUCGCCCAUUAAAGAGGCACGCGAGCUGGGUUCAGAACGUCGUGAGACAGUUCGGUCCCUAUCCGUCGUGGGCGCAGGAAAUUUGAGAAGAGCCAUUCCUAGUACGAGAGGACCG